Paramuricea clavata is the source of this 369-nucleotide non-coding RNA. The record is from the annotation of a GenBank genome assembly. NCBI's taxonomy places the organism in Eukaryota, Metazoa, Cnidaria, Anthozoa, Malacalcyonacea, Plexauridae.
GGGGGAGUAACAACUUCUGGUCAUACGGCAGCAUUUCCCCCUUGCGAUAGUAUUAACUUCUAGUUAAUACUUGUGCUGCAGCUCUGUCGUAGCUGAUCCUGCCAAUGUCGUAGCAUGCGAAAACGCCAUGUGAAAAUGUCUGAGACGGUGUUCAUUUGACGCACUAUUUGUUUUCUGCAAUCCCUCAGAUGUGAUAAGUAAAUAAAUGUGGUAUAAACUUCAGCAACGAGAUGUAUUUCAAAACAUCCUAUUGUGAUAGGAAACGAUUAGCCCGAGUGUUGAAAAAUUGAUUUUCGUGUCUUUGCCAGUUGCGCAGAAUUGACUGAUUGAAACACAAUGCAACUGAAAUAUUACACCAACGAAUUGAAA